This 1493-nucleotide ribosomal RNA is filed under the name uncultured Bordetella sp. Its description in RNAcentral is "partial 16S-23S ribosomal RNA intergenic spacer". It matches the Rfam family "Bacterial small subunit ribosomal RNA". The record is from RNAcentral. Lineage: Bacteria; Pseudomonadati; Pseudomonadota; Betaproteobacteria; Burkholderiales; Alcaligenaceae.
AGUUCGAUUCUGGCUCAGAUUGAACGCUGGCGGGAUGCUUUACACAUGCAAGUCGAACGGCAGCACGGACUUCGGUCUGGUGGCGAGUGGCGAACGGGUGAGUAAUGUAUCGGAACGUACCUAGUAGCGGGGAUAACUACGCGAAAGCGUAGCUAAUACCACAUACGCCCUUCGGGGAAAGCAGGGGACCUUCGGGCCUCGCACUGCUAGAGCAGCCGAUAUCGGAUUAGCUAGUUGGUGGGGUAACGGCUCACCAAGGCGACGAUCCGUAGCUGGUUUGAGAGGACGACCAGCCACACUGGGACUGAGACACGGCCCAGACUCCUACGGGAGGCAGCAGUGAAAUUUUGGACAAUGGGGAAACCCUGAUCAGCCAUCCCACGUGUGCGAUGAAGGCCUUCGGGUUGUAAAGCACUUUUGGCAGGAAAGAAACAGCACGGGAUAAUACCCCGUGCAACUGACGUACCUGCAGAAUAAGCACCGGCUUAACUACGUACCAGCAGCCGCAGUAAUACGUAAGUGCAAGCGUUAAUCGGAAUUACUGGGCGUAAAGCGUGCGCAGGCGGUUCCGGAAAGAAGAUGUGGCGAAAUCCCCAGAGCCCAACUUUGGAACUGCAUUUUUAACUACCGAGCUAGAGUGUGUGUCAGAGGAGGUGGGAAUUCCGCGUGUAGCAGUGAAAUGCGUAGAUAUGCGGAGGAACACCGAUGGCGAAGGCAGCCUCCUGGGAUAACACUGACGCUUUCAUGCACGAAAGCGUGGGGGAGCAAACAGGAUUGAUGCCCUGGUAGUCCACGCCUAAACGAUGUCAACAUAAGCUGUUUGGGGCCUUCGGGCCUUGGUAGCGCAGCUAACGCGUGAAGUUGACCGCCUGGGAGGUACGGUCGCAAGAUUAAAACUCAAAGGAAUUGACGGGGACCCGCACAGCGGUGGAUGAUGCCAGGAUUAAUUCGAUGCAACGCGAAAAACCUUACCUACCCUUGACAUGUCUGGAAUCCCGAAGAGAUUUAGGAGUGCUCGCAAGAGAACCGGAACACAGGUGCUGCAUGGCUGUCGUCAGCUCGUGUCGUGAGAUGUUGGGUUAAGUCCCGCAACGAGCGCAACCCUUGUCAUUGGAUUGCUACGAAAGGGCACUCUAAUGAGACUGCCGGUGACAAACCGGAGGAAGGUGGGGAUGACGUCAAGUCCUCAUGGCCCUUAUGGGUAGGGGCUUCACACGUCAUACAAUGGUCGGGACAGAGGGUCGCCAACCCGCGAGGGAGCCAAUCCCAGAAACCCGAUCGUAGUCCCGGAUCGCAGUCACCGCAACUCGACUGCGUGAAGUCGGAAUCGCUAGUAAUCGCGGAUCAGCAUGUCGCGGUGAAUACGUUCCCAGGUCUUGUACACACCGCCCGUCACACCAUGGGAGUGGGUUUUACCAGAAGUAGUUAGCCUAACCGUAAGGGAGGGCGUUACCACGGUAAGUUCUUGACUGGGGUGAAGUCGUAACAAGGCG